RNAcentral lists this transfer RNA (54 nucleotides) under Moniliformis sp. XH-2020. RNAcentral describes it as "tRNA-Thr". Lineage: Eukaryota; Metazoa; Acanthocephala; Archiacanthocephala; Moniliformida; Moniliformidae. The record is from RNAcentral.
GUCGAUUUAGUUUAUUGGAAUAGAGUUUUUGUAAAACUCAGGUUGAGAUCGACU